UACGAAGGGGGCGAGCGUUGUUCGGAAUCACUGGGCGUAAAGCGCGCGCAGGCGGGUGGGCAAGUCGGGAGUGAAAGUCCGGGGCUCAACCCCGGGAUGGCUACCGAUACUGCUCGUCUAGGGACCGGUAGAGGCCGGUGGAAUUCCCGGUGUAGCGGUGGAAUGCGUAGAGAUCGGGAAGAACACCUGUGGCGAAGGCGGCCGGCUGGGCCGGAUCCGACGCUGAGGCGCGAAAGCGUGGGGAGCAAACAGG
Molecule: unclassified non-coding RNA, 253 nt
Filed under: uncultured Gemmatimonadota bacterium
Lineage: Bacteria; Pseudomonadati; Gemmatimonadota
Description: uncultured Gemmatimonadetes bacterium contains 16S-23S intergenic spacer region
Rfam family: Bacterial small subunit ribosomal RNA
Source: RNAcentral